RNAcentral lists this ribosomal RNA (1926 nucleotides) under gut metagenome. RNAcentral's name for it is "bacterial LSU rRNA". It matches the Rfam family "Bacterial large subunit ribosomal RNA", at positions 3 to 2022 of the family's 2925-position model. The record is from RNAcentral.
UCAAGCGAACAAGGGCGCAGGGCGAAUGCCUUGGCACUGGGAGCCGAUGAAAGACGUGAUAAGCUGCGAUAAGCUUCGGGGAGCUGCAAAUAAGCAUUGAUCCGGAGAUUUCUGAAUGAGGAAACUCACCUGGGUUCAUACUCAGGUACGUUAUACUGAACUUAAAAAUAGGUAUAUCGAGGGAACCGCCUGAACUGAAACAUCUAAGUAGGGCGAGGAAGAGACAUCAAACGAGAUUCCGUAAGUAGUGGCGAGCGAACGCGGAAGAGGGCAAACCGGGAGUAGAAAUACUUCCGGGGUACGGACUGCUUUUAGGACUUAAUCUGUUAACCGAACGGCAUGGGAAGGCCGGUCAGAGAGUGUGAGAACCACGUAGGUGAAAACGGAGAGAGCUGCGCAGGAUCCAGAGUACGGCCAGACACGUGAAACCUGGUCGGAAUACGGGGGGACCACCCUCCAACCCUAAAUACUACCCAGUGACCGAUAGCGUAUAGUACUGUGAAGGAAAGGUGAAAAGCACCCCGGGAGGGGAGUGAAAAAGAACCUGAAACCCUGUGCCUACAAGCACCUAGAGCACGUCAAUGUGUGAUAGGGUACUUUUUGUAGAACGGUCCGGCGAGCGAUUGUAUGCAGCAAGGUUAAGGACUUAAGGUCUGGAGCCGAAGCGAAAGCGAGUUUGAAAAGGGCGUUAAGUUGCAUACAAUGGGCCCGAAACCGGGUGACCUACCCAUGGUCAGGUUGAAGUGGAAGUAAAAUUCCAUGGAGGACCGAACCGACCUCCGUUGAAAAGGCGGCGGAUGAACUGUGGGUAGCGGAGAAAUUCCAAUCGAACCCGGAGAUAGCUGGUUCUCCCCGAAAUAGUUUUAGGACUAGCCUCAAGUUAGAUACCUGGAGGUAAAGCACUGAAUAGCCUAGCGGCCGAGAGGUUAGCGAAGCUUAUCAAACUCAGAAUGCCAGAGUAUUGAUGCUUGGGAGUCAGACAGUGUCAGAUAAAUGUCAUUGUCAAAAGGGAAACAGCCCAGAUCUACAGCUAAGGUCCCAAAGUCAGGUUAAGUGGAAAACGAUGUGAAGAUACGUAGACAACCAGGAUGUUGGCUCAGAAGCAGCCACACAUUCAAAGAGUGCGUAAUAGCUCACUGGUCGAGCGUCUUUGCGCGGAGAAUUUAACGGGGCUAAACCUGACACCGAAGCUUAGGCAAUACAGCAAUGUAUUGGGUAGGGGAGCGUUGUAUACGCGGUGAAACAGUAGCGCAAGCGGCUGUGGAGUGUAUAGAAGUGAGAAUGCCGGAAUGAGUAGCGCGAAUGCAGUGAGAAUCUGCAUGGCCGAAAGCCUCAGGUUUCUGGAGGAAGGUUCGUCCGCUCCAGGUUAGUCGGGAGCUAAGGUGAGGCCUAACGGCGUAGCCGAUGCACAGACGGUAGAGAUUCCGUCACCACCAAAAGAGUUAAACACAGGGACACAUUUGAAGUCUCGGAGCCGGGUGUUGGUUCCGGUAGCGAUCGAGGGAAAUUAGUACCGAAGUCCGGGAUGGAAGAUGGCGAGAAAAGCUGUGUGUAUUUCUGCGGUGCCCGUACCGCAAACCGACACAGGUAGGUAGGAAGAAGAUUCUAAGGCCAACGGGAGAAGGGUUGUUAAGGAACUCGGCAAAUUGACCCCGUAACUUCGGGAGAAGGGGUGCUCCAGAGAUGGAGCCGCAGAGAAUCGGCCCAAGCAACUGUUUACCAAAAACACAGGUUUGUGCUAAAUCGAAAGAUGACGUAUACGAGCUGACGCCUGCCCGGUGCUGGAAGGUUAAGAGGAGAUGUGCAAGCAUUGAAUCGAAGCCCCAGUGAACGGCGGCCGUAACUAUAACGGUCCUAAGGUAGCGAAAUUCCUUGUCAGGUAAGUUCUGACCCGCAUGAAAGGCGUAAUGAUUUGGGCACUGUCUC